RNAcentral lists this ribosomal RNA (253 nucleotides) under uncultured bacterium. Its description in RNAcentral is "partial 16S ribosomal RNA". It matches the Rfam family "Bacterial small subunit ribosomal RNA", at positions 524 to 776 of the family's 1533-position model. The record is from RNAcentral.
UACGGAGGGUGCAAGCGUUAUCCGGAUUUACUGGGUUUAAAGGGUGUGUAGGCGGACAUUUAAGUCAGGGGUGAAAUCCCGAGGCUCAACCUCGGAACUGCCUUUGAUACUAUUUGUCUUGAAUGUUGUUGAGGUGGGCGGAACGGGUCAUGUAGCGGUGAAAUGCAUAGAUAUGACCCGGAACACCGAUUGCGAAGGCAGCCCGCUAAGCAACUAUUGACGCUGAGGCACGAAAGCGUGGGGAGCAAACAGG